UGCUAUACAUGCAAGUCGAACGAACUCUGGUAUUGAUUGGUGCUUGCAUCAUGAUUUACAUUUGAGUGAGUGGCGAACUGGUGAGUAACACGUGGGAAACCUGCCCAGAAGCGGGGGAUAACACCUGGAAACAGAUGCUAAUACCGCAUAACAACUUGGACCGCAUGGUCCGAGCUUGAAAGAUGGCUUCGGCUAUCACUUUUGGAUGGUCCCGCGGCGUAUUAGCUAGAUGGUGGGGUAACGGCUCACCAUGGCAAUGAUACGUAGCCGACCUGAGAGGGUAAUCGGCCACAUUGGGACUGAGACACGGCCCAAACUCCUACGGGAGGCAGCAGUAGGGAAUCUUCCACAAUGGACGAAAGUCUGAUGGAGCAACGCCGCGUGAGUGAAGAAGGGUUUCGGCUCGUAAAACUCUGUUGCUAAAGAAGAACAUAUCUGAGAGUAACUGUUCAGGUAUUGACGGUAUUUAACCAGAAAGCCACGGCUAACUACGUGCCAGCAGCCGCGGUAAUACGUAGGUGGCAAGCGUUGUCCGGAUUUAUUGGGCGUAAAGCGAGCGCAGGCGGUUUUUUAAGUCUGAUGUGAAAGCCUUCGGCUCAACCGAAGAAGUGCAUCGGAAACUGGGAAACUUGAGUGCAGAAGAGGACAGUGGAACUCCAUGUGUAGCGGUGAAAUGCGUAGAUAUAUGGAAGAACACCAGUGGCGAAGGCGGCUGUCUGGUCUGUAACUGACGCUGAGGCUCGAAAGUAUGGGUAGCAAACAGGAUUAGAUACCCUGGUAGUCCAUACCGUAAACGAUGAAUGCUAAGUGUUGGAGGGUUUCCGCCCUUCAGUGCUGCAGCUAACGCAUUAAGCAUUCCGCCUGGGGAGUACGGCCGCAAGGCUGAAACUCAAAGGAAUUGACGGGGGCCCGCACAAGCGGUGGAGCAUGUGGUUUAAUUCGAAGCUACGCGAAGAACCUUACCAGGUCUUGACAUACUAUGCAAAUCUAAGAGAUUAGACGUUCCCUUCGGGGACAUGGAUACAGGUGGUGCAUGGUUGUCGUCAGCUCGUGUCGUGAGAUGUUGGGUUAAGUCCCGCAACGAGCGCAACCCUUAUUAUCAGUUGCCAGCAUUAAGUUGGGCACUCUGGUGAGACUGCCGGUGACAAACCGGAGGAAGGUGGGGAUGACGUCAAAUCAUCAUGCCCCUUAUGACCUGGGCUACACACGUGCUACAAUGGAUGGUACAACGAGUUGCGAACUCGCGAGAGUAAGCUAAUCUCUUAAAGCCAUUCUCAGUUCGGAUUGUAGGCUGCAACUCGCCUACAUGAAGUCGGAAUCGCUAGUAAUCGCGGAUCAGCAUGCCGCGGUGAAUACGUUCCCGGGCCUUGUACACACCGCCCGUCACACCAUGAGAGUUUGUAACACCCAAAGUCGGUGGGGUAACCUUUUAGGAACCAGCCGCCUAAG
Molecule: ribosomal RNA, 1449 nt
Filed under: Lactiplantibacillus plantarum
Lineage: Bacteria; Bacillati; Bacillota; Bacilli; Lactobacillales; Lactobacillaceae
Description: bacterial SSU rRNA
Rfam family: Bacterial small subunit ribosomal RNA
Source: RNAcentral